Molecule: ribosomal RNA, 351 nt
Filed under: Lancefieldella rimae
Lineage: Bacteria; Bacillati; Actinomycetota; Coriobacteriia; Coriobacteriales; Atopobiaceae
Description: bacterial SSU rRNA
Rfam family: Bacterial small subunit ribosomal RNA
Source: RNAcentral
GCAACCUGCCCUCCUCUUGGGGAUAGCCUCGGGAAACCGAGGAUAAUACCCGAUACUUAAUGUGACCGCAUGACGACAUUGAGAAAGCUUUUGCGGAGAAGGAUGGGCCCGCGCCUGUUAGCUUGUUGGUGGGGUAGAGCCUACCAGGCAAUGAUGGGUAGCUGGGUUGAGAGACCGACCAGCCAGAUUGGGACUGAGACACGGCCCAGACUCCUACGGGAGGCAGCAGUGGGGAAUCUUGCACAAUGGGCGAAAGCCUGAUGCAGCGACCCGCGUGCGGGACGAAGGCCUUUCGGGUUGUAAACCGCUUUGCAGCAGGGACGAGGCGAAAGUGACGGUACCUGCAGAAGA